Apiotrichum porosum is the source of this 97-nucleotide non-coding RNA. The record is from the annotation of a RefSeq genome assembly. Lineage: Eukaryota; Fungi; Basidiomycota; Tremellomycetes; Trichosporonales; Trichosporonaceae.
ACUGGAGUGUCGGAGUGGUUAACGAGUUUGACUUGAAUUGAUGAGUUCAUGUGAUCAAAUGCCGAAAGGCGCGCAGGUUCGAAUCCUGUCUCCAGUG